GAACCGUCCAAACGUUAUUCGGAAUCAUUGGGCUUAAAGGGUGCGUAGGCGGUGCGGUCAGUUGGGUGUGAAAUCCCUCGGCUCAACCGAGGAACUGCGCCCAAUACUGCCGCGCUCGAGGGAGACAGAGGUAAGCGGAACUGAUGGUGGAGCGGUGAAAUGCGUUGAUAUCAUCAGGAACACCAGUGGCGAAGGCGGCUUACUGGGUCUCUUCUGACGCUGAGGCACGAAAGCUAGGGGGGGAGCGAACGGGAUUAGAUACCCCGGUAGUCCUAGCUGUAAACGAUGAGCACUUGAUCGGAGGCUCCCUCCAUAGGUUUUCCGGUCGUAGCGAAAGUGUUAAGUGCUCCGCCUGGGAGUAUGGUCGCAAGGCUG
This 375-nucleotide ribosomal RNA is filed under the name uncultured organism. RNAcentral's name for it is "partial 16S ribosomal RNA". It matches the Rfam family "Bacterial small subunit ribosomal RNA", at positions 527 to 896 of the family's 1533-position model. The record is from RNAcentral.